UAAAAUAUACAAAACCAAAAUUCAAUCAAUUCUUCGAUUACAUUAUCGUCUAAACCUAGACUUGUGAGAUUUACCUCCUUCUCCUCCAAAUCCAAUCGUAACCUUAGACCCUCAUUCAUCAAUGGAGGCGAAGAACGAGCAAGUUGCAGAGUUUUGGUGUCUGAAGUCUAAUCGAGGUAGCAAUCCAGUCGUCGAAGCGCAUGGCGGUUCCGGCCAAUCCAGUCGUCGAAGAAGAAGAGCACGAAGGUCCCACACAUCAUCCUACUGCACCGUCACACGAGUCGCCGUGACGCGAAACGAAGACACUGAGAUCCAAAUCCACACUUCCCCAUGAAGUUCAACGUUGCAAAUCCCACUAGUGGAUUCUAGAAGAAGCUGGAAAUCUAUGAUGACGUGAAGCUAUAAUUUCUUCCCCUAUUUCACUUUUUAUGUUGUUUCUAUUCACAAGAUUUGUUAUUCUAUUAACUAAAUUGUGUUGUGAAUUCCAGUCGUGCUUUUUGGGACAAGAGGAUCUCUCAAGAGGUUAAUGGUGAUGCUUUGGGAGAGGAAUUUAAAGGCUAUGCUUUCCAAAUUACUGGAGGGUGUGACAAGCAAGGUUUUCCAAUGAAGCAAGGAGUGUUAAAUCCCAGCCGUGUCCGCCUCUUGCUCCACCGAGGUUAGCAGUGAAGAUGCAGUUAACAUGGCUAGGACAUUGGCUGUAAAAGAAAGACUCAUGGUUGGCAUAUCGUCCGGAGCUAACACGGUUGUAGCACUUAGAUUGGCUAGUCUUCCUAUUUAAAUGACCGAUGCAUAACAAAGAGUUAUUAUUUAAAUGACCGACAUCUGAAAAUAAGUAACAGAACUUGAUUAAAGUAUGAAGGUGAAUGGGUUCGAAACGACCCCGAGGGUCAUGGUGUUGUUGAAGUUGAAAUACCAGUUAUACUGUUCCUGGAUCCAAGUAUGCAUCUCUGAAGUCUUGCAAAUGGACGGUACGAAAUCCCCUAUUAUGAGAGGAAAGCAUGGAUUGAGGAAUUUGGAGAAAAGCCGUUGGCGUUCAAAGCCUAUUUUAUUCUUGGUGCUGACAUGGGUUGUUGAAAAGGUUUGAGAAUUCCAACAGACAAGUCACAUUCUCAAAGAAGGUUAACAAUGUUUUGUGAACUAUGUAGAAAAAGAUGCAGCUAUCUAGCAAGAAGAGGAUAAGGACAUAGAAAUGUUGCCAAAACAAAAGCCAAAGAAGAAGAAGAAGAAAACUUAUAUAUGAAGAAAGUGUUAUGACUUAGUUAAAAUAUAAUUUUUAUGUGUAUGAUUUUAUAGUACUUGAAAUAUUAUGACUGCACAUGAUUUUGUAUACUUUUUGGUUAAUAUUAAAAAUAUUUUGACUUAGUUAAAAUAUGAUUUUUAUGUGUAUGAUUUUAUAGUAUUUGCAAUAUUAUGACUGAAAAUGAAAUAUAACUAAAUAGUGU
Molecule: long non-coding RNA, 1442 nt
Organism: Vicia villosa (hairy vetch)
Lineage: Eukaryota; Viridiplantae; Streptophyta; Magnoliopsida; Fabales; Fabaceae
Exons: 9
Source: RefSeq, a predicted model, not a curated record